UGGAGGCGCUGACGCUGAGCGCCGCCUCGCGCUCCUGCAGCACGUGGGUCGCGGUUGGAGGGUCACAAUUGCCGUCGCCACAGAGGUCUCAUCCGGUCCAACCGCCUCAUAGACCUCUGCCCAGCGACAAUAAGAAGGUCCGUCAGAACUACAUCAAGCGUCGCCUGCUGACCACGUAUCGCGCGCUGGAGAGGAUGUCGCAGUCCGAGUUCAAUCUGGACAAACUUGAGGCCGUAGCAUCAGUGCCCGUGAGUUCAGGUCCGGGACCCACCACACUCGCUGUACCCGCCAAGAACACUAAAUAUGUACACCCAGAAGCUGCCAACCUGGCUCUGACGGCUGCUGACCUGGAACGUGAGCGCGGGCGCCCUCUGUCGAAGUACGAGCGCAACAUGAUAAUCUUCAACUGGCUUCACACCCUCGACGAGGCAGCUCCCUUCUAGCUCCCCUCCAUACUUUUCCACCCGGUCUGUGACGUCGUGACGCGUUCUGGCCACACUAUAAUAAUACGACGCGUUCUGGCAAAUUGUUAUAACAUUAUGACGCGUUUUAGUUGCAGAUUAUAAAAUUAUGACGCAUUUUAAUCACAUAUUAUAGUAAUAUGACACGUUCUGUAUAUGUUAUUAAGUUAGAUCAGGUCAAGAUUAUAAAGCUAUGAAAAGUCGUAGCCAUAGAUUAUAAAUUAUAACGCGUACUGGAUAUAUGUUAUAAUGUUAUGACGCGUUAUAAAUAAUAAUAUAAACUAACUUUAUGACGCAUUUUACACAGAAAUUAUAACACCAAUAUUUAACUCAAAUAUUAUAAUAUUAUGACGCGUUCCGGCCACGUUCUGUAAUAAUUCUUCUAACCACGUUUUAUAAUGUCGACGUAUUUUAAUAUUAUUUGACGCUUCUAUAUAAAUAAUGUUCGUGUCUGACGAUACGCUACACAAUAUUUAUAUAUGGAACAGAGUACGUAUAACAGUGUAUAUAAUUAUUAAUUUUUGUUUUCGUUGUAUGUGUGUUUCACUCAUAGUUCUGUUGUUCUGACGCGUUACAGAUAAAUAAACCAUACAUAAAUGAUAUAAAUAAUCAAAAAUGUGUUUUUAGUUAAUAUAAUUUUAUGUAAAUUAUACUUGCUUGUAAUUAUAUAACGCGUGAUCUCAAUGUUAAUAAUAUAUAAUGAUAUUAUGUAUAGUAAAUAGAAUUAAUGAUAUUCGAAAUGACAUUUUUCACACCUGACCUCCCAUUGCUCAAUGUUUUUGUCAUUUUUCAGGUUUAUUCAGUUUUAAUUUUGUUUUCCGCCUGUUCAAUGUGUAAUGUUUACCUCAGGCUAUAAAACAGCGUAUUACGUCUCAUAACAGCUAAAGCAGUAACCGAAUAUGACAGAACAUUUCAUUAACUUUAAUAAUAAAAGACAGAAUUAGACCAACUAUAUAAUAUUUUAUUAUGUUAGAAAACAAUUGAUAUUUGCGAAGUUUUUAAUUUUAGUAAUUUAAUCUUAGUUAGUGCUCCUGGGGUCAUUGUCACCCCAAUGGAAUCUCAACCCAUGAAUCUCAACA
Molecule: unclassified non-coding RNA, 1540 nt
Filed under: Melitaea cinxia (Glanville fritillary)
Lineage: Eukaryota; Metazoa; Arthropoda; Insecta; Lepidoptera; Nymphalidae
Description: misc RNA ENSMCXG00005001317.1
Source: RNAcentral